RNAcentral lists this ribosomal RNA (553 nucleotides) under uncultured bacterium. RNAcentral describes it as "partial 16S ribosomal RNA". It matches the Rfam family "Bacterial small subunit ribosomal RNA", at positions 355 to 922 of the family's 1533-position model. The record is from RNAcentral.
UGGGGAAUAUUGCACAAUGGGCGAAAGCCUGAUGCAGCAACGCCGCGUGAGUGAUGAAGGUCUUCGGAUUGUAAAGCUCUGUCUUUUGGGACGAUAAUGACGGUACCAAAGGAGGAAGCCACGGCUAACUACGUGCCAGCAGCCGCGGUAAUACGUAGGUGGCGAGCGUUGUCCGGAUUUACUGGGCGUAAAGGGUGCGUAGGCGGAUGUUUAAGUGAGAUGUGAAAUACCCGGGCUUAACUUGGGUGCUGCAUUUCAAACUGGAUAUCUAGAGUGCAGGAGAGGAGAAUGGAAUUCCUAGUGUAGCGGUGAAAUGCGUAGAGAUUAGGAAGAACACCAGUGGCGAAGGCGAUUCUCUGGACUGUAACUGACGCUGAGGCACGAAAGCGUGGGUAGCAAACAGGAUUAGAUACCCUGGUAGUCCACGCCGUAAACGAUGAGUACUAGGUGUAGGAGGUAUCGACCCCUUCUGUGCCGCAGUAAACACAUUAAGUACUCCGCCCGGGAAGUACGAUCGCAAGAUUAAAACUCUAAAGUGAAUUGACGGGUCAUA